UACAGAGGGUGCAAGCGUUGCUCGGAAUCAUUGGGCGUAAAGGGCAGGUAGGUGGUCUUAUUUGUCUGGGGUGAAAUCCCUGAGCUUAACUCAGGAAGUGCCUCAGAAACGGUAAGACUUGAGUGCUGGAGAGGGUCGUGGAAUUCCCGGUGUAGCGGUGAAAUGCGUAGAGAUCGGGAGGAACACCAGCGGCGAAGGCGGCGACCUGGACAGUGACUGACACUCUACUGCGAAAGCGUGGGGAGCAAACAGG
This 253-nucleotide ribosomal RNA is filed under the name uncultured bacterium. RNAcentral describes it as "partial 16S ribosomal RNA". It matches the Rfam family "Bacterial small subunit ribosomal RNA", at positions 524 to 776 of the family's 1533-position model. The record is from RNAcentral.